This 704-nucleotide ribosomal RNA is filed under the name uncultured Enterobacterales bacterium. RNAcentral describes it as "bacterial SSU rRNA". It matches the Rfam family "Bacterial small subunit ribosomal RNA", at positions 63 to 756 of the family's 1533-position model. The record is from RNAcentral. Lineage: Bacteria; Pseudomonadati; Pseudomonadota; Gammaproteobacteria; Enterobacterales.
CGAACGGUAACAGGAAGCAGCUUGCUGCUUCGCUGACGAGUGGCGGACGGGUGAGUAAUGUCUGGGAAACUGCCUGAUGGAGGGGGAUAACUACUGGAAACGGUAGCUAAUACCGCAUAACGUCGCAAGACCAAAGAGGGGGACCUUCGGGCCUCUUGCCAUCGGAUGUGCCCAGAUGGGAUUAGCUAGUAGGUGGGGUAACGGCUCACCUAGGCGACGAUCCCUAGCUGGUCUGAGAGGAUGACCAGCCACACUGGAACUGAGACACGGUCCAGACUCCUACGGGAGGCAGCAGUGGGGAAUAUUGCACAAUGGGCGCAAGCCUGAUGCAGCCAUGCCGCGUGUAUGAAGAAGGCCUUCGGGUUGUAAAGUACUUUCAGCGGGGAGGAAGGCGACAGGGUUAAUAACCCUGUCGAUUGACGUUACCCGCAGAAGAAGCACCGGCUAACUCCGUGCCAGCAGCCGCGGUAAUACGGAGGGUGCAAGCGUUAAUCGGAAUUACUGGGCGUAAAGCGCACGCAGGCGGUCUGUCAAGUCGGAUGUGAAAUCCCCGGGCUCAACCUGGGAACUGCAUUCGAAACUGGCAGGCUAGAGUCUUGUAGAGGGGGGUAGAAUUCCAGGUGUAGCGGUGAAAUGCGUAGAGAUCUGGAGGAAUACCGGUGGCGAAGGCGGCCCCCUGGACAAAGACUGACGCUCAGGUGCGA